RNAcentral lists this ribosomal RNA (460 nucleotides) under uncultured bacterium. Its description in RNAcentral is "partial 16S ribosomal RNA". It matches the Rfam family "Bacterial small subunit ribosomal RNA", at positions 338 to 795 of the family's 1533-position model. The record is from RNAcentral.
CCUACGGGAGGCAGCAGUGAGGAAUCUUGGUCAAUGGACGAGAGUCUGAACCAGCCAAGUAGCGUGAAGGAUGACUGCCCUAUGGGUUGUAAACUUCUUUUAUAUGGGAAUAAAAUGUUCCACGUGUGGGAUUUUGUAUGUACCAUAUGAAUAAGGAUCGGCUAACUCCGUGCCAGCAGCCGCGGUAAUACGGAGGAUCCGAGCGUUAUCCGGAUUUAUUGGGUUUAAAGGGAGCGUAGGUGGAUUGUUAAGUCAGUUGUGAAAGUUUGCGGCUCAACCGUAAAAUUGCAGUUGAAACUGGCAGUCUUGAGUACAGUAGAGGUGGGCGGAAUUCGUGGUGUAGCGGUGAAAUGCUUAGAUAUCACGAAGAACUCCGAUUGCGAAGGCAGUUCACUGGACUGCAACUGACACUGAGGCUCGAAAGUGUGGGUAUCAAACAGGAUUAGAUACCCCUGUAGUC